Molecule: ribosomal RNA, 253 nt
Filed under: uncultured bacterium
Lineage: Bacteria
Description: partial 16S ribosomal RNA
Rfam family: Bacterial small subunit ribosomal RNA
Source: RNAcentral
UACAGAGGGUGCAAGCGUUAAUCGGAAUUACUGGGCGUAAAGCGCGCGUAGGUGGUUCGUUAAGUUGGAUGUGAAAUCCCCGGGCUCAACCUGGGAACUGCAUUCAAAACUGACGAGCUAGAGUAUGGUAGAGGGUGGUGGAAUUUCCUGUGUAGUGGUGAAAUGCGUAGAGAUCCGGAGGAACACCUGUGGCGAAGGCGGCCCCCUGGGCCGCACCUGACGCUGAGACGCGAAAGCGCGGGGAGCGAACGGG